GACGAACGCUGGCGGCGUGCUUAACACAUGCAAGUCGAACGGAAAGGCCCUGCUUUUGUGGGGUGCUCGAGUGGCGAACGGGUGAGUAACACGUGAGUAACCUGCCCUUGACUUUGGGAUAACUUCAGGAAACUGGGGCUAAUACCGGAUAGGAGCUCCUGCUGCAUGGCGGGGGUUGGAAAGUUUCGGCGGUUGGGGAUGGACUCGCGGCUUAUCAGCUUGUUGGUGGGGUAGUGGCUUACCAAGGCUUUGACGGGGAGCCGGCCUGAGAGGGUGACCGGCCACAUUGGGACUGAGAUACGGCCCAGACUCCUACGGGAGGCAGCAGUGGGGAAUAUUGCACAAUGGGCGGAAGCCUGAUGCAGCAACGCCGCGUGCGGGAUGACGGCCUUCGGGUUGUAAACCGCUUUCGCCUGUGACGAAGCGUGAGUGACGGUAAUGGGUAAAGAAGCACCGGCUAACUACGUG
RNAcentral lists this ribosomal RNA (468 nucleotides) under uncultured bacterium. Its description in RNAcentral is "partial 16S ribosomal RNA". It matches the Rfam family "Bacterial small subunit ribosomal RNA", at positions 28 to 507 of the family's 1533-position model. The record is from RNAcentral.